CAUGCAUGAACUGACUGUGAAUUAGCAUCAUUUCAUGAUCUAUUGAGUGUGGAAUAAUCACAUGAAUUCAAAGUGACAGGCUCAUUUGUGUUGAGUGAGAAAAAAGCAUCAAUGACACAUCUGCAUUAAUGCAAGUAUUAUUUCAUCAGGAUUUAUGCAUUACAUAGAUGUUAUUCAGCAUAUAUUCAUACACAGACUUAUUUAUUGUUUUAUUACUUUUGUCAUUUUUAGAUUAUUUCAGUGACUUAUGUAACAUUUUCUGUCUUAAACAGAGGGGUACCAGCAAUUUUCGAGCUGCAGUUACCCGCUGCAGGACAAGCUUCCUCAGAGGCACAGCCUCUUUCCCUGACUCGACUUUUCUCACAGCAGACAGCCAUACAGGAGGAUAUUUUGUAUUUGGUAAUUUAUUUAAUUAAAAAUAUUUUUUUUUCUUGUGAUUUGUGAUGUUUUUAAUUUCCCAGAUCAAUGGUUGUACCAUAGAAGCUAAUACUGACCUCUACAACCUCUCCCUCUAACGACAUCAGGCCCUGAUGCUCUUGGUACUGACCCAGUGCUACCUGUGGUGAGGCCGGAUGCAGUAGAGUCUCUGCUCUUACCUGAAGUUCCGCAGGGCAGUGAAUUUUGCUGCCCUGGAAAAACUGUGUCCCACGCCCAACAUUAUUUGUAAAAGGAGGCGACUUUCCCAUCAGGGUGUGGCCCUGCAUGUGAUAGGCUUCCCCCACGGGCACUGGUAAGGCAUUUUGUUGUCUGCCUGUAUUAUAUUCAUUUUUUAACCUUUUAAGGGCCAAUUUAAGACAUAAAGUCACUAAUAUAGCAAAAGAAAUGGAAGGAAAAUGACCUAAAAAACUGCAUUGAUGAAGUGAUUCUAUAAGUGCAUUCUCUUUCACUAACAGCAGCACUAACCAACAUCAGUACCAUGUAAAAAAUCACCAGCUUCAGAUUAUGUGUUAUAAUAAAAAUAGGUCAUUUUCCUUCAAUUUUUUGCUAUAUUAGUGACUUUAUGUCUUAAAUUGGCCCUUAAAAGGUUAAAAAAAAUAUAUUUUCAAUUAAACAUUUGCUAGUUUUUAACAGGGCAGAAGUAAAAUAAGAGAUGUAUUAAAAAAAAUCUGAAAAAAAUAUUAAUCCAAUAUGAUUUUACAGCAAACAAAGUAGUGGCUUUUUUUGGCCACUGAGGUUUUGAGGAUAUAUAUAUAUACAUAAUAAUAAUAUAUAACACAUGUAAAUAUAAUAUAUUCUUUCUCUCUCAGCCAUCACCUGUGGAGCCCUGGGUUGCUGGCUUGCUGAGCCCUUUCUUUCGGUAGGUAGUGUUAAAUUUAAAAUACUAAUUCAAGUGGCAUGUUUCCAUGACCAAUUUAUUGAUUUAUUUAUUUGUUUUGCAGUGCCCAGCCUGUCCUCACCGCUGCCCCUGAUACCAGGCUGCUGUGUUGGCUGUUUUGCCAUAAUUUGAGUUUCUUUAUUUUAAGUCUUUAAAGUUUACUCUUUCCUUCUGUAAACUCUUUGCUUGAGUCUUUGUUUUUGCACUUUUGUUAAGUUCUGGUUUUCUUACUUAAUUUCUCCCUGGGAAUACAGGUGCCUUUAGAUAGCUAACCCUGAUGAUAAUAUUAAUAAAAAAAAAACAAGACCAAACAACAAAAAUGAGUGACCACUGUGUGUUUUAAGCUUGAGGUUUCAAUAUUGUAGUUGCUGUGAUUCUUGAUGAACAAAGGUAUCACAAUUUCAGUGGUUUCUAAUAUGCUUCAGCCCAAUCAUUAAAGGCUCUUCACAUGGUG
This 1769-nucleotide long non-coding RNA is filed under the name Xyrichtys novacula (pearly razorfish). The record is from RNAcentral. Lineage: Eukaryota; Metazoa; Chordata; Actinopteri; Labriformes; Labridae.